AACGAACGCUGGCGGCGCGCCUAAUACAUGCAAGUCGAGCGAGAAGACGUAGCAAUACGUUUGUAAAGCGGCGAACGGGUGAGGAAUACAUGGGUAACCUACCCUCGAGUGGGGAAUAACUAGCCGAAAGGUUAGCUAAUACCGCGUACGCUCCUUGGACUUCGGUUCAGGGAGGAAAGCGAUACCGUGGGUAUCGCGCUCUUGGAUGGGCUCAUGUCCUAUCAGCUUGUUGGUGAGGUAACGGCUCACCAAGGCUUCGACGGGUAGCUGGUCUGAGAGGACGAUCAGCCACACUGGCACUGCGACACGGGCCAGACUCCUACGGGAGGCAGCAGUAAGGAAUAUUGCGCAAUGGGCGAAAGCCUGACGCAGCGACGCCGCGUGGGGGAUGAAGGUCUUCGGAUUGUAAAGUUCUUUCGCCCGUGACGAUGAUGACGGUAACGGGAGAAGAAGCCCGGC
This 459-nucleotide ribosomal RNA is filed under the name uncultured bacterium. RNAcentral describes it as "bacterial SSU rRNA". It matches the Rfam family "Bacterial small subunit ribosomal RNA", at positions 29 to 496 of the family's 1533-position model. The record is from RNAcentral.